Molecule: unclassified non-coding RNA, 357 nt
Filed under: soil metagenome
Description: partial contains 5.8S ribosomal RNA, internal transcribed spacer 2, and large subunit ribosomal RNA
Rfam family: 5.8S ribosomal RNA (bases 1-119)
Source: RNAcentral
GAUGAAGAAGCAGCGAAAUGCGAUAAGUAAUGUGAAUUGCAGAAUUCAGUGAAUCAUCGAAUCUUUGAACGCACAUUGCGCCCGUCAGUAUUCUGGCGGGCAUGCCUGUUCGAGCGUCAUUACGCCCCUCAAGUCCCCUGUGGACUUGGUGUUGGGGAUCGGCGAGGCUGGUUUUCCAGCACAGCCGUCCCUUAAAUUAAUUGGCGGUCUCGCCGUGGCCCUCCUCUGCGCAGUAGUAAAACACUCGCAACAGGAGCCCGGCGCGGUCCACUGCCGUAAAACCCCCCAACUUUUUAUAGUUGACCUCGAAUCAGGUAGGACUACCCGCUGAACUUAAGCAUAUCAAUAAGCGGAGGA